Camelina sativa (false flax) is the source of this 1037-nucleotide non-coding RNA. The record is from RefSeq and is a predicted model, not a curated record. Lineage: Eukaryota; Viridiplantae; Streptophyta; Magnoliopsida; Brassicales; Brassicaceae.
ACAUAACUAGAGAUCUAACUUUUUUGGGCUAAUCUCUUCUCUCGUCGAUCUCUCUGAAACUCGAUUAGAAAACCUCAAACUCGAUCCCAAAUUUGUUUGUCUUAUCAUUCACUCUCGAUCCCUCUCAGUCUCAGUUAAUCCCUCUCAGUCGUUAUCCCUCUGAGUCAGAUUCAUCGACGUUCUACAACAUCCUCUCAUAGUGAGGAGUCACAUACAUCAAUCCAAAUCGAACUGGUGAGCUCGAAACACAGAAGGGAAGAUUUCAAUUUCAGUAGUUCUACUUUCAAUUUGGGUUUUCGAUUGAUGUUUUUUUUAGUUGAUUUUUCUGAUGAUAUUGUGUAUUUCUGAUAAACUGCAUACCGCCGCCGAGCCCGAGCCUAGGGAAAGUGGGAUCGUUUGGUCGGUAGAGAAAGACGUGACCAUGUAUCACGUUUAGGUUUUGGUAAAGAGUCGAUUUAUUCAGUGUAACCGAUUUCUAAUUGAUAUGUCUUUGACUGUUUUUGCAGUUGAAUUUUGCACCUAUUAGAAGAACUAACAUGUAUAUGAUAAAUUUAAGUUGGAAGCAAUGGAUCCGGUGAGUCUGGUUUUUGUUUUAGAUUUAAGUUCUCCCCUGACUCUUCUUUUCUUGAGCUUUAGAUUUUGUCACUUGUUUUGCUAUUCUAUAAUUUGUCUUCAGUAUGGUGAGACUCCAUUGCACAUGGAAGCCGAGGACGGUUGGCCGGUUGUAAUGAAGCUGCAAAAUUACUCCUUCAGAGUGGUGAUUUUAUUGAAGCCAAAGCCAACUUGCACGGUUUGGAAGAAAAUAUUGCAGAUGAACUUCUGCAGUUUUGGAUCAGCCAUAGUGAAGGGAAAAAAUCCAAAUUCUCAAGUGUCGUUGACUAUAUAAUACUAUAAAUAUACACUUGUGGUUUUUUUUUGUAUAUAUUCUCAAAAUGUCGUUAUUUUCUUCGGUAUCUUUUUUUUUGUAAAUAACAUUUUACCAAUAUUUAUGUAAAAAAGAAUGAUUGGCACUUGUGAAAAAUACUACAUAUUUGUAA